This 253-nucleotide ribosomal RNA is filed under the name uncultured bacterium. Its description in RNAcentral is "partial 16S ribosomal RNA". It matches the Rfam family "Bacterial small subunit ribosomal RNA", at positions 524 to 776 of the family's 1533-position model. The record is from RNAcentral.
UACGUAGGUGGCUAGCGUUGUCCGGAUUUACUGGGCGUAAAGCGUGCGCAGGCGGUUCGUUAAGUUCGAUGUGAAAGCCCCGGGCUCAACCUGGGAACUGCAUUGGAAACUGGCGAGCUUGAAUGCGGCAGAGGGGGGUGGAAUUCCGCGUGUAGCAGUGAAAUGCGUAGAGAUGCGGAGGAACACCGAUGGCGAAGGCAGCCCCCUGGGCCGACAUUGACGCUCAGGCACGAAAGCGUGGGGAGCAAACAGG